Non-coding RNA from Podarcis lilfordi (Lilford's wall lizard), 69 nucleotides. The record is from the annotation of a GenBank genome assembly. Lineage: Eukaryota; Metazoa; Chordata; Lepidosauria; Squamata; Lacertidae.
GUCGUAGUUCAGUGGUAGAGCGUUUGCUUUGAAUGCGGGAGGUCCUAAGUUUACUCCCCAGCAUCUCCA